GUGGGGAAUAUUGGACAAUGGGGGGAACCCUGAUCCAGCCAUGCCGCGUGUUUGAAGAAGGCCUUUUGGUUGUAAAGCACUUUAAGCGAGGAGGAGGCUACCGAGAUUAAUACUCUUGGAUAGUGGACGUUACUCGCAGAAUAAGCACCGGCUAACUCUGUGCCAGCAGCCGCGGUAAUACAGAGGGUGCAAGCGUUAAUCGGAUUUACUGGGCGUAAAGCGCGCGUAGGCGGCCAAUUAAGUCAAAUGUGAAAUCCCUGGGCUUAAAUUAGGAAUUGCAUUCGAUACUGGUCAGCUAGAGUAUGGGAGAGGAUGGUAGAAUUCCAGGUGUAGCGGUGAAAUGCGUAGAGAUCUGGAGGAAUACCGAUGGCGAAGGCAGCCAUCUGGCCUAAUACUGACGCUGAGGUACGAAAGCAUGGGGAGCAAACAGGAUUAGAUACCCCUGUAGUCC
RNAcentral lists this ribosomal RNA (451 nucleotides) under uncultured bacterium. RNAcentral describes it as "partial 16S ribosomal RNA". It matches the Rfam family "Bacterial small subunit ribosomal RNA", at positions 354 to 796 of the family's 1533-position model. The record is from RNAcentral.